This 718-nucleotide long non-coding RNA is filed under the name Salmo salar (Atlantic salmon). RNAcentral describes it as "lncRNA (ENSSSAG00000094957.1, ENSSSAG00020076374.1)". Lineage: Eukaryota; Metazoa; Chordata; Actinopteri; Salmoniformes; Salmonidae. The record is from RNAcentral.
UAAUGCUGGCCAGUAUAGUUUGGGAUCACGCAGAUCUCUCGUCCGUGUAUCUACAAAGAGGUUUCGUUUGAGCCUGGACAGACCUUCUACAGGGGUUGUAACAAGUGCUACUGCCACGAAAAUGGCUACUUCUGUCUCUCACUGAUGAAACGUGGUGUGAAGCCUACAGCUGGAUCUGGUGAAGGCAGACACACACACCUAUGCCCCCCUACAGUCAAAAUACACAAUUGCAAGACUCUGGCUGUGGACAACCUCUUGAAUAAAGUAGUUACCAUGCAGAGAACAGACCACAUCCAACCUUCAAUUUGUCAACUUGUUCAAUCAAAGAAGGAACCAAUUCCCAAAUUGAACGACCCAACUCCAAAAGUUUCAUCCUUCGUUUCAAUAAAUGUGUUCAGUCUUCUGUAUGUCAUAGACCGCUAUGUUUUCAAUGUGAGGAAGCGAGAGCGCCAUCGGUCAACUUCACAAACCUAGGCUGGGCUUACACUCUACUAUGCACGCUCCACACAGGCUCCGCAAACGCUUCACCCGCACUGAGAUUUGAGCUGUGCAUGUCAGUGAUGAAUUGCUCAGCAGAAAGCUUGACUGUGGAGUUUACUCAGCCUUACAGGGUGACUCCCUAGCCUCAUCCGUUGACUGUUUGUCAGGCUAAGGAGAUAUUUCACUGUGUGUACAGUAUAUGUAUAUAAUCAAUCAUUUCAAAUAAAACAUGGCAGUG